UGUUGGGUACAUGGUAGAGGUGAUUUUUUUUCACAUAUGAAUCAGAGCAUAGGGUCACUGAGGCCACUUCCAACUCUGAAGAUGUGUGAGACUGUGAAAACUACAUUGGUGUCCUGAAUGAAGAGCUUAUCUUCAAAUUUAACCUCUUCCCCUAUUCUAAGGAGCCAUUUUGUAUUUGUAAAGGAUUUCAUGGAAAGGCACAGAGAACUACCUAGAAUGAGAAGGCCGGAAGGAAUUGAGGGAGCAUCACCCCUCCCUCCAUGAUCAAAAAUCACAAAUCCGUCAAAGCAACAUACCUGGCUGUAUUUCUAUUCUAAGCCUGUAUCACAUCUCAGGGUAAAUAUAUUACCUGCUGUGUGAAGAAGGGCCUCCUGUUAUUUGUCCUACAUUUAAUUAUCUCAAUGUAUGUUAUUUUCAGCUU
Molecule: long non-coding RNA, 421 nt
Filed under: Monodelphis domestica (gray short-tailed opossum)
Lineage: Eukaryota; Metazoa; Chordata; Mammalia; Didelphimorphia; Didelphidae
Description: lncRNA (ENSMODG00000044554.1)
Source: RNAcentral